AUUGAUUCUUUUUUUUUUGUUGAUUGCGUUUCUUUUGAAAAAUAAACAUGCUAUGAUGCACAUGAUGCAGACACGAUUGGCAAGCUGUGCAUAUCUGGACGCAGGAUCGAAGCUUCGGCUCGAACUCUGAUCACAACCAUCUGAAACCCCAAAGUCAACUGGUCAACUGUCAUCUGAACCCAAUCUGAGGAACCGAGUC
Molecule: long non-coding RNA, 199 nt
Filed under: Lathyrus oleraceus (garden pea)
Lineage: Eukaryota; Viridiplantae; Streptophyta; Magnoliopsida; Fabales; Fabaceae
Description: Pisum sativum (pea) long non-coding RNA (PSAT_LNC040573)
Source: RNAcentral